Molecule: ribosomal RNA, 434 nt
Filed under: uncultured bacterium
Lineage: Bacteria
Description: partial 16S ribosomal RNA
Rfam family: Bacterial small subunit ribosomal RNA
Source: RNAcentral
AGCGAACGCUGGCGGCAGGCUUAACACAUGCAAGUCGAACGGGCAUCUUCGGAUGUCAGUGGCAGACGGGUGAGUAACACGUGGGAACGUACCCUUCGGUUCGGAAUAACUCAGGGAAACUUGAGCUAAUACCGGAUACGCCCUUUUGGGGAAAGGUUUACUGCCGAAGGAUCGGCCCGCGUCUGAUUAGCUUGUUGGUGGGUAACGGCCUACCAAGGCUACGAUCAGUAGCUGGUCUGAGAGGAUGAUCAGCCACACUGGGACUGAGACACGGCCCAGACUCUUACGGGAGGCAGCAGUGGGGAAUAUUGGACAAUGGGCGCAAGCCUGAUCCAGCCAUGCCGCGUGAGUGAUGAAGGCCUUAGGGUUGUAAAGCUCUUUUGUCCGGGACGAUAAUGACGGUACCGGAAGAAUAAGCCCCGGCUAACUUCGUG